Molecule: ribosomal RNA, 253 nt
Filed under: uncultured bacterium
Lineage: Bacteria
Description: partial 16S ribosomal RNA
Rfam family: Bacterial small subunit ribosomal RNA
Source: RNAcentral
UACGGGGGGGGCAAGCGUUGUUCGGAAUUACUGGGCGUAAAGGGCUCGUAGGCGGCCAACUAAGUCAGACGUGAAAUCCCUCGGCUUAACCGGGGAACUGCGUCUGAUACUGGAUGGCUUGAGAUUGGGAGAGGGAUGCGGAAUUCCAGGUGUAGCGGUGAAAUGCGCAGAUAUCAGGAGGAACACCGGUGGCGAAGGCGGGUCUCUGGGCCGAAAUUGACGCUGAGGAGCGAAAGCGUGGGGAGCAAACAGG